RNAcentral lists this ribosomal RNA (497 nucleotides) under uncultured bacterium. RNAcentral describes it as "partial 16S ribosomal RNA". It matches the Rfam family "Bacterial small subunit ribosomal RNA", at positions 28 to 507 of the family's 1533-position model. The record is from RNAcentral.
GAUGAACGCUGGCGGCGUGCCUAAUACAUGCAAGUCGAGCGAACAGACGAGGAGCUUGCUCCUCUGACGUUAGCGGCGGACGGGUGAGUAACACGUGGAUAACCUACCUAUAAGACUGGGAUAACUUCGGGAAACCGGAGCUAAUACCGGAUAAUAUAUUGAACCGCAUGGUUCAAUAGUGAAAGACGGUUUUGCUGUCACUUAUAGAUGGAUCCGCUCCACAUUAGCUAGUUGGUAAGGUAACGGCUUACCAAGGCGACGAUGCGUAGCCGACCUGAGAGGGUGAUCGGCCACACUGGAACUGAGACACGGUCCAGACUCCUACGGGAGGCAGCAGUAGGGAAUCUUCCGCAAUGGGCGAAAGCCUGACGGAGCAACGCCGCGUGAGUGAUGAAGGUCUUCGGAUCGUAAAACUCUGUUAUUAGGGAAGAACAAAUGUGUAAGUAACUAUGCACGUCUUGACGGUACCUAAUCAGAAAGCCACGGCUAACUACGUG